ACACCUCAACUCUCAUGGUUUGCCAUGAUGAGCUUGGACUUUGGGGGUCCUGCUGGCCUACGGUCAGCUCCUCUAAAAUGAAUCAGCUUGCCAGUGUUUGGUGGCAUCACAGGUGUGAUAACUAUCUACGCUUGUGGCCCCCCCACCAGGUAACCUCCAGUGAUGGAGGUUCGCUGGGGCUCAUAAAUGUCUCUCCUCAGCGAGGACAGCUUUUUGAAC
This 219-nucleotide unclassified non-coding RNA is filed under the name uncultured Tomentella. RNAcentral's name for it is "sequence contains ITS2". The record is from RNAcentral. Lineage: Eukaryota; Fungi; Basidiomycota; Agaricomycetes; Thelephorales; Thelephoraceae.